GAUUUAUUUUCACUUCAACUGUGAUAAACACAUACGAACAAGCAAAUUUGAAAUUGUUUGAUUUGUUUAGUUUGGCCUGAUGAUAAGCACUUACACGCAUUAAAAAUUCGUUCAGCUUAUUAUAUAGCAAAACAAAGCCUUGGUGCUACGUUCCGAUUCGGAACUUGACUUUCUGUUUUUAUUUAUACACAGACUUCGCAGCCGAUUGUUUAGUGUACAGGACAAUUGCGGGGCUAGCGCCACGAUCCUACUGACUCUAACAGUCUCUCCCGAGACGAGACUCGAACCUAUGACGACUGGUUUGUUAGGCCAGCAUCGUACCUCGAAACCAUCUGGGAAGUUUCAGAUUAUAUAUGCCGAAUGAAUUUAUGAUUAGUUUAAUAGUAUACAAUAUGAAAAAAAAAAUUAAUCCACCUAGCGGUCAGACUCAGCCUUUCUCAUUCAAAUUUAUUAUUUGUAAAAUAGAUUUACAUGACUGCUUAAAUCCAAUAAAGGUAUAUUCACUCUUUGGGUUCCAAAAUAUUGAUGUUGUAAUUUAAGUAUAAAAAAUGAAAUUUGACGUAAUGUUAGUGCUUAAGAAAUAGCGAAAGAGACAAAUCCCGCCAAAUGACCGAUGAUUGAA
Molecule: long non-coding RNA, 622 nt
Organism: Wyeomyia smithii (pitcher-plant mosquito)
Lineage: Eukaryota; Metazoa; Arthropoda; Insecta; Diptera; Culicidae
Exons: 3
Source: RefSeq, a predicted model, not a curated record